AGAGUUUGAUCAUGGCUCAGGACGAACGCUGGCGGCGCGCUUAACACAUGCAAGUCGAACGGAGUUGUCGGAGCUUGCUCCGGCAACUGAGUGGCGAACGGGUGAGUAACACGUGAGAAACCUAUCCUGGUCUCUGGGAUAACAGCCGGAAACGGCUGCUAAUACCGGAUGCCGUCGGAGCAUCGCAUGGUGCGCUGACGAAAGGGUUACUGGAUCAGGAGGGUCUCGCGGCCUAUCAGCUAGUUGGUGGGGUAACGGCCUACCAAGGCAUCGACGGGUAGCUGGUCUGAGAGGAUGAUCAGCCACACUGGGACUGAGACACGGCCCAGACUCCUACGGGAGGCAGCAGUGGGGAAUCUUGCGCAAUGGGCGAAAGCCUGACGCAGCAACGCCGCGUGCGGGAAGAAGGCCCUCGGGUUGUAAACCGCUUUCAGAAGGAACGAAAAUGACGGUACUUUCAGAAGAAGGUGCGGCCAACUACGUGCCAGCAGCCGCGGUGACACGUAGGCACCAAGCGUUGUCCGGAUUUAUUGGGCGUAAAGAGCUCGUAGGCGGUUCGGUAAGUCGGAUGUGAAAACUUUGGGCUCAACCCAAAGCGUGCACUCGAUACUGCCAUGACUAGAGUUCGGUAGGGGAGUGGGGAAUUCCUAGUGUAGCGGUGAAAUGCGCAGAUAUUAGGAGGAACACCGGUGGCGAAGGCGCCACUCUGGGCCGAAACUGACGCUGAGGAGCGAAAGCGUGGGUAGCAAACAGGAUUAGAUACCCUAGUAGUCC
This 774-nucleotide ribosomal RNA is filed under the name uncultured bacterium. RNAcentral describes it as "bacterial SSU rRNA". It matches the Rfam family "Bacterial small subunit ribosomal RNA", at positions 8 to 796 of the family's 1533-position model. The record is from RNAcentral.